CAGGCCUAACACAUGCAAGUCGAACGGGGUAGCAAUACCUAGUGGCGCACGGGUGAGUAACGCGUGGAUAAUCUGCCUUGGAGUGGGGGAUAACUAGUCGAAAGAUUAGCUAAUACCGCAUAAGACCACAGGAGCUGCGGCUCUAGGGGUCAAAGGUUUUUCGUUCCAAGAUGAGUCCGCGUAAGAUUAGCUAGUUGGUGAGGUAAUGGCUCACCAAGGCGACGAUCUUUAACUGGUCUGAGAGGAUGAUCAGUCACACUGGAACUGAGACACGGUCCAGACUCCUACGGGAGGCAGCAGUAGGGAAUAUUGCACAAUGGAGGAAACUCUGAUGCAGCGACGCCGCGUGAGUGAUGAAGGCCUUCGGGUCGUAAAGCUCUGUCGCAGGGGAAUAACACAAUGAAUGUACCCUGUAAGAAAGGAUCGGCUAACUUCGUGCCAGCAGCCGCGGUAAGACGAGGGAUCCUAGCGUUGUUCGGAAUUAUUGGGCGUAAAGCGGAUGUAGGUGGCUUUGUAAGUCAGAUGUGAAAGCCCAGGGCUCAACCCUGGAAGUGCAUUUGAUACUGCGAAGCUUGAGUGUCGGAGAGGUUACUAGAAUUGUUGGUGUAGUGGUGAAAUACGUAGAUAUCAACAGGAAUACCGGAGGCGAAGGCGGGUAACUGGCCGAACACUGACACUGAGAUCCGAAAGCGUGGGGAUCAAACAGGAUUAGAUACCCUGGUA
RNAcentral lists this ribosomal RNA (723 nucleotides) under Bdellovibrio sp. YJBS. RNAcentral describes it as "bacterial SSU rRNA". It matches the Rfam family "Bacterial small subunit ribosomal RNA", at positions 43 to 792 of the family's 1533-position model. Lineage: Bacteria; Pseudomonadati; Bdellovibrionota; Bdellovibrionia; Bdellovibrionales; Pseudobdellovibrionaceae. The record is from RNAcentral.